RNAcentral lists this ribosomal RNA (369 nucleotides) under uncultured organism. Its description in RNAcentral is "partial 16S ribosomal RNA". It matches the Rfam family "Bacterial small subunit ribosomal RNA", at positions 527 to 896 of the family's 1533-position model. The record is from RNAcentral.
GGAGGGUGCAAGCGUUAUCCGGAUUCACUGGGUUUAAAGGGUACGUAGGCGGCCGAGUAAGUCAAUAGUGAAAUCUAGCAGCUUAACUGCUAACGUGCUAUUGAUACUGCUGGGCUUGAGUAUAGUCGAGGUGGGCGGAAUUCUACAUGUAGCGGUGAAAUGCAUAGAUAUGUAGAGGAACACCAAUAGCGAAGGCAGCUCACUAGGCUAUUACUGACGCUGAGGUACGAAAGCGUGGGUAGCGAACAGGAUUAGAUACCCUGGUAGUCCACGCUGUAAACGAUGGUCACUCGAUAUAUGUGCCUUUUGGCACAUGUGUCCUAGCGAAAGCGUUAAGUGACCCACCUGGGAAGUACGCUCGCAAGAGUG